CAGCCGCCGCGGGAAUACGUAGGUGGCAAGCGUUGUCCGGAAUUAUUGGGCGUAAAGGGCUCGCAGGCGGUUUCUUAAGUCUGAUGUGAAAGCCCCCGGCUCAACCGGGGAGGGUCAUUGGAAACUGGGAAACUUGAGUGCAGAAGAGGAGAGUGGAAUUCCACGUGUAGCGGUGAAAUGCGUAGAGAUGUGGAGGAACACCAGUGGCGAAGGCGACUCUCUGGUCUGUAACUGACGCUGAGGAGCGAAAGCGUGGGGAGCGAACAGGAUUAGAGACCCGAGUAGUCCCUGUCUCUUAUAC
RNAcentral lists this ribosomal RNA (301 nucleotides) under uncultured bacterium. RNAcentral describes it as "partial 16S ribosomal RNA". It matches the Rfam family "Bacterial small subunit ribosomal RNA", at positions 509 to 807 of the family's 1533-position model. The record is from RNAcentral.